This 497-nucleotide ribosomal RNA is filed under the name uncultured bacterium. RNAcentral describes it as "partial 16S ribosomal RNA". It matches the Rfam family "Bacterial small subunit ribosomal RNA", at positions 28 to 507 of the family's 1533-position model. The record is from RNAcentral.
GAUGAACGCUGGCGGCGUGCCUAAUACAUGCAAGUCGAGCGAGCAGACGAGGAGCUUGCUCCUCUGACGUUAGCGGCGGACGGGUGAGUAACACGUGGAUAACCUACCUAUAAGACUGGGAUAACUUCGGGAAACCGGAGCUAAUACCGGAUAAUAUAUUGAACCGCAUGGUUCAAUAGUGAAAGACGGUUUUGCUGUCACUUAUAGAUGGAUCCGCGCCGCAUUAGCUAGUUGGUAAGGUAACGGCUUACCAAGGCGACGAUGCGUAGCCGACCUGAGGGGGUGAUCGGCCACACUGGAACUGAGACACGGUCCAGACUCCUACGGGAGGCAGCAGUAGGGAAUCUUCCGCAAUGGGCGAAAGCUUGACGGAGCAACGCCGCGUGAGUGAUGAAGGUCUUCGGAUCGUAAAACUCUGUUAUUAGGGAAGAACAAAUGUGUAAGUAACUAUGCACGUCUUGACGGUACCUAAUCAGAAAGCCACGGCUAACUACGUG